This 1167-nucleotide long non-coding RNA is filed under the name Papio anubis (olive baboon). Its description in RNAcentral is "lncRNA (ENSPANG00000048372.1)". Lineage: Eukaryota; Metazoa; Chordata; Mammalia; Primates; Cercopithecidae. The record is from RNAcentral.
AAAGAAGAAACAAUGACAUUGAGGAGACAAUCCCUCUAUUUGCUGGAUAACCCCUGUGGCUAUCUCUCUCCCUUAGGUCCUCUAGAAUCUCUCUAGCUCUGUAGAAUAUAACCUAGGCAACUGUUGCGUGAGUUCUGAAAGCUCAAAGCUGGCUUUUUUUUCUGAGCAGAAAGCUCCUUUUAUUACAGUGUAGGCCAGAUUUUCUUCGGUCCUCCCCUAGAUUCUCCAUAGGAGCGUAACUCAGGAUGUAACAGGGUCUGUCUUCUGUGGCACUUUCCACUUGGUAUCUAUUUGUGCUCCAGCCAAACACAUUUCUCCAUAGGAUAAUGAGAGCUUGGGGGUCCUGCUGAGUUUUUGCUUUUGUAUUCCUCAAUAAAUCAUGCUUCACAUUUCGGUGGUGUCUGUCCCUGUUCUACAGCUUUGCAAUUUUUUUUUCCAUAAAUAUCACCUAGACCAAUAACACUUCUAAUAGAAGAUCUCUGUCUACAGCAUCUUCAGCAGAUUUUUAAAAAUACCUUCAAUGACCCUCCCUUGGUUAAGUAUUCACUGUCACUCAUUACAAACAAAUUAAGCCCUGUUUUAGGAUACAGCAAUUAAUAAUACAGACACUAUCCGAUAGCAUUAAAAAUACUCUAAUCUGAAAGGACUCUACAUGAUUUAGUGUCAUCUCCCACUAGUGAAAAGAGACUAACAUAUAUAAGCAUCUGUUAUAAACCAGGCACUAUGCAUUUUAAUUAUCAUAGUUCUUACAAUCUUCCCAGUAAUACUGUGUAGCAAACAUACAUAAAGAUAUCAACUUUUUCCCUAAUAUUAUUAUCCUUCUUACAGAUUGAUUCUCAAUAUCUGUUGCUUUGUUUUCUCUUUUAUUGCCUUAAAAAGAAAAAAAAAAAAGACCCUGAGAUUUUAAAGAUGUGCCUGCUUCCAUUCCCUGCGUGCUUUCUGACUCAGAGAGGAAAAUUUAAUGUGAACCUCUGCAGCCAAAGAUAACAAAGCAGGGAGGUAGAACUCAAGCCUUCUGACUCCUGAACCAAUCUUCAGAAGCCUCAAUCCUCAUCCUGUGUAGCAAUGUGUAGCAAUGUACUGAAAUCAGUUUGGAGGUAUGUUGCAAGUAUUUUUUUGUUUGUUUUUGUCAAAUAAGAUUUAAACUAUUGCAGUUUGACAUACUGU